AUUGAACGCUGGCGGCAUGCCUUACACAUGCAAGUCGAACGGUAACAGGUCUUCGGAUGCUGACGAGUGGCGAACGGGUGAGUAAUACAUCGGAACGUGCCUAGUAGUGGGGGAUAACUACUCGAAAGAGUGGCUAAUACCGCAUGAGAUCUACGGAUGAAAGCAGGGGAUCGCAAGACCUUGUGCUACUAGAGCGGCCGAUGGCAGAUUAGGUAGUUGGUGGGAUAAAAGCUUACCAAGCCGACGAUCUGUAGCUGGUCUGGGAGGACGAUCAGCCACACUGUGACUGAGACACGGCCCAGACUCCUACGGGAGGCAGCAGUGGGGAAUUUUGGACAAUGGGCGAAAGCCUGAUCCAGCAAUGCCGCGUGCAGGAUGAAGGCCUUCGGGUUGUAAACUGCUUUUGUACGAAACGAAAAGCCCUGGGUUAAUACCCUGGGGUCAUGACGGUACCGUAAGAAUAAGCACCGGCUAACUACGUGCCAGCCGCCGCAGUAA
Molecule: ribosomal RNA, 498 nt
Filed under: uncultured bacterium
Lineage: Bacteria
Description: partial 16S ribosomal RNA
Rfam family: Bacterial small subunit ribosomal RNA
Source: RNAcentral